Leopardus geoffroyi (Geoffroy's cat) is the source of this 5825-nucleotide long non-coding RNA. RefSeq lists it as uncharacterized. The record is from RefSeq and is a predicted model, not a curated record. Lineage: Eukaryota; Metazoa; Chordata; Mammalia; Carnivora; Felidae. The transcript is spliced from 3 exons.
AGGGGCAACUAGAAAUCUGUUUAUCUGGCUGGAGCUGCUGACGGAACAGCUUUCCAGUAACCUUCGCCCCCUCGGCGUUCUGGAAGGUGCUCUGGAAGGUGCUGAGAUUCUGACCUGGGUUCUUUGUGUCGCCAGCAAGAAGCCAUUUCAGCUGAGCUAAAAAGAAUGUGGCAGGUGCCACGUCGGCAAGGUGGCCUCUUCCUCCAAGACCCACAGCUGGCCUGCGUCUCUGCAGACGGUGGGACCUCCCCCCGGGGGGACGCUGCCCCGUGUCCCCAGCAGAGAGGGACCCAGCCCCAGGUGUCCAUAGCCCCCCAGAAGAGAAAGGCUGCUGUUGGCCGGCCUGCCGGGACAGGGGGCGUAUGCCGCCUUCUGCCGUGGGCCCCAUGAGUACUCUGCCACCGUCUGGGAAACAGGGCAUCGGAUCCCCGCAGGGAAGCGUGUGGGAUGCGUGUCCAUCCAGGCAGGAGGUGUGAUGGGCGGCACAGGGUCUCUCUGUGUUCAUGGUGCUGGGACGCACGGGACUCAGUGGGGACAGGCUGGCCCUGGGACCCCAGACUGCCAAGCUCCUCUCGGCCGGUACCCGACCGAACUCUGACCGGUUCUGGGCAGAUGCCAGUGUGGGAACGUUUUGGACGCUGGGGUGCAGCCUGGGUGGUUGAGGCGUGGGCCAUGGGCCGUCUUCCCUACUCCCCGACAGCUCACCUGCGGGAGCUGGUCAGUCUCCCUGCUCCUGAGGAAGGAGAGUUUUUAUGAUUUAUAAAACCGAAUUUCACAUUUAGGGAAGGACUUAGUACUGGGAUCUUGGAAUUUGGCAAAUACGCUCGCUGGGUAAAGUCACGUUUACGUGAAGAAGGAAUUAAACGUGCAGAGCGAGGACGCCAACUGUGUGCAAGCCGAGUUGGGGGAGCGUUUGCGUGCUGCCUGGAGACCCGUCCCGGACGUGACAAGUCAGCCUGUUGAGAGCACUGAAACUCUGACGAUGAAUCCACCGGCGGGACUCAGGCCUUUCCCCUCCGGAGGAGGCGCCCCUGCAGGAAGAGGUGCCACGGGAGGGCUGGCCGGGCAUCCCUCAGGGAGCGCUCGGGGGCCGGAGACACACCCCGAAGCUCGGAGCCGGGCGUUUCCCAGUCCGGGCUCAGGGCACACCGGGCGGGUGGGGCGGGUCUGGGGGACGGCAGACGGGCACCUGCUGCAAUGCUGCUGGGAAACCAGCUGCCCCCCCCGCCCCCCCCCCCCACACACACACCCUAGCUUCGCCGUGUCGUCAUUUACUCUUUCAUGGAUUCACUGCACGGACACCUGUGGGCGGGCAUCUCCAAGGCUCCUGGCCACAGACAUGGCAGGACAGACGUGCUCGCCGCCCCAAGCCCUGACCCUGCCAGGGUAGGUGAGGGACGCCCCAGAUCCUGAACCCCCGGCGCCGACAGCCCGAAUUCUGUUAGUUCCUCGCACGCUGCAUGUACCCAGUGGACAUGGUGUGGCUGUGUGUGUCGGCCGCGGGGCCUGGGGUUGGAUAGCCCCUCUGUGUCUGCGUCCUGGGGCCGCCGUCGCGGAUGAAGAGGCCGCUGGAGGUGAGAGGAGCACCCCAGCUCACGCGCCUGCAGACGCAAGGGCGGCCACCCCUCGAGGAGCCUGUGGCCGGGCCCACGCGGCCAGGUGAGCAGCGAGAACCGUAUCACAGGCUGAUGGCAGUGGCCGUGGAGGGAAGCUGUUGGAGUGUGGCUGGGGGGCUGUAUCAGUGCUGGCAGAGUGGCGUCUCUGGGCCGCUCGGGGAAGAUUCGGGACACAGGACGAAGGCUUUGAAUGCAGCUUGUGGAUGAAUUGCAUCUGCAAACGAGACUGGCAGGAGACCAGCCAGACUGCGGUUAACAGCUGGGCUUUGGCGGGGUGAGGGGCCCCGGGCCCGACGCUGGCACCCAGAAACCGUGGCCCCUCGAAGGUCACACUCAGCUCUCCUGGGUAACUUGUUGCUUGGCUGGACUUCAGACGCAGGGGGGCUGACACGAGGGGCACCGGGCACUGCCCCCUCCCUCCCUGACAAGACAGGAUGAGCCCAGAGGGGGCCCAGUGGGAACAAAGAGCAUCGAGUGUGCGUCUCUCCCGUCUCAGCCCCUUGCGGAUGCUUAUGAGCCCGUCUGCUGACCUGUGGGUUUCCCUUGUUUUGUUUCUCUGGUUUGCUGGCCAGAAAACGGUGGUCGGACCCGAAGGCCCCCACCCGGAUUUGCAUCUGGUACCCGGCUGGGGUUGGAUGGGCUCCUCUCCCCGACGUGGCCGGCGUGGGGAGGGGACCCAGAUCAGCUUUGUUCUGGCCAGGUUCACAGACCGUUUGUUUUGUGGAAAAGUCGUAUUUUCUGAGGAGGCCAGGUCGGAUCUCCCGUGCACUUGUAAAGUUAGAAAAUGGUGGGAGACAGGUGUGUACUGGGUGGACGGCCAGAGGUACGGCGCGAGGACUGGGUGUGGGGGGCUCCCGGAGGGCCACAGGCCGAGGCUCCGGGCUGAGAAGGAGAAACGGUAUAUAAAUCACCAGGAGACCCCAGGAGAGGGGCGAAGGUGUUUGCCUAAGAUGUUGACAUCAUUCCCACCCCGUCACCUGCUCUAGGAUGUUUUCAAAUUUAAUUUUUUUUAACUGCCAGGCCAACUUCUUGGGGCAUCGUUUUAUUCGGAUUGGUUCCAUUUCAGUGGCUUGAAAUGUCUAUUAAAAAAAUUAAAGCAUGAUUACAUAAAUUUAAAUUCUUAGGGUGGAAAAAAAAUAAAUUCUUACGGUAUAGCAAAUAAAUUGCGCCUGUUUUUAAGCAAUUCAAAGGGCAGAGUUAGUGCCUUCUGAUUAUGCAGCCCGACUGCAAGAUUUACCCCAUGAAGCCUGUUCUGGGGAGAAGCAUCACAAUGAGGAGGUGGUGAGGAGAGCCACUGGCAGGUGGUUGGAAUAUCAUCCUCAACCUGGCGGGAAGAGACGGCUCUUUGGCGUCUUCCUGGCGUCCCUCCAAGAACCAGCUCCCAGCUCAAGGAAUGCUCUUUGAAAACCUUUGGAAAUGCAAACGUGGGCAAUUCUUUUUCAAAAAUGCUACAGUGCUUUGAAGGAAGUGGGGGGAGGGGUGCAGCAGGCUCCCAGGGAGACGCCGAUUUCUUCCCAAACUUACAAAUCCAGAGCUUCCAUCGUGUAUUUUAAGGCAGCCUUUUGAUUCCCGCCUUCGUCCAUCUCACUGGAAAGACGUCGUCCGCGUCCCUGGCAUCUGGAUGGUGUUAGGGGGACACGGAGGGCACACACGGGUCUCUCAUGGUUCACUGAGGACCUUCAAGUCACGGCUUUUCUGCGUAUUUGCUGCGUGAUUCUGGGCCGGUGGCCUAGCCUGUCUGAGCCCCGGCCCCUCAUCUGUAACAAGCACCCCUUCCCCAGAGGCUGACGCGCUCAGGCUCCGAGGGGACGUUCUCAAGCGCCAUCCACGUCCUGCUUGCUCCACAGCGUCGCUGGCACUUGGUGUCACCUCCCUUUCCGUGGUAACCACUGUGGCGGAGACUGAAUUUUUCACCUUCUCUCCCCCUCCUCGCCACAGCUCCCCAUGCUGAGCUGCCGUUGCCAUAUCACACCGUGUGGACACGUGCAUCCAGUGCUGGCGGCCGGGGCCCCAAGACGCGGUCCUCCGAGAUGAGUGCCAGGCUCGGACAUGGCUUGUAGGGAACCCCGUCCCGGGGCAGCCAGGUGGGGGGGGUCAGUUGCCUUGUGUCUUUGAAGCCGCCCCUGCACGCGCCCAGGCCAGGGGUCCCCUCCCCAGCGCAAGGGUGGGCUCUCCCCUGUCCGUCGCUCGGAGCAGCCCUGCCCAUCUCCGUUUGGGUCCCAGGAAUGGAAUCCUCUGUAUCCGCUUGGCCUUCAGGAGAGACUGGGGUCUGUCCCCAGACCACACCCCUGCCCGUUUCUGGUGUCCUCUGUUUACUCGGGAUGAAGCCCCGACCUGCAUCUCCUUCAGACACACGUCUUGGCUGGACACCCACCUUCCAUGGCGGCCAGUGGAUGAGCUGUCCUGUGACCCCUGUCACAUGGGCAUGGCAUGGUGAGGAACACAGAGCCACAGGGCAGCACCUCAGUGCUCAUCACCACUGCCAAUCAGUCCUGACUUCCCCCUAAAGUCAGAUGGACCCAGAAGGAACCUUUCUGUGUGGAGGUCAGCCGUCGGAAGGUGGGGGGGGGGGCCUCAACCAAAAAAAAAAACAGGGAAUUUUGCAAGAACCCAGCCCUGGCUGGUAACAGGUGACCAACCAGCUUCCCGCCGCGACUGCCUGGAAAGCCGGAGGCUUGGAAGCUGCACCUGCCCCCCAGCAGAGCAGAGGAGCCACCGUGGGCCUGACUUGUGUAUGUGGGCAUGUGUGUGUGCACAGGGCACGUGCAUGGGGGAGGUGCUCUCACGAAGCACGUUGUGAGCAGCUCCUUCCUCUGCUUCCCCAGCCCCAGGCAGUCCCCAGGCGAGUGACUCCAUGAGUAUGAAUGGAGGUCAGUCCACGAAGCCGUACGUAUGUUUCACGGGGUGAGGAACUCGGGGCCUUGAGUCCGCUUUGCCUUCUGUAGGAGCCAGGGCAAUGGGGCACGUGACGCGAGCCUCGCCCUCCUGGCAGCGGGUCCUGGGGCAGGUAGCUGGGCGCACCCCUGCCCGGUGACCUCCGGCAGCACGAGCCCCUGCCGCUGGCUGGAACAGACGCCCUGGCGGCUCGGCUGGUCCUCCGGGGCCCGCACCCGCCCCACACCUGGAGGGGAAGCAGCCUGUCACUCUCCACCUUUCUAUUCUGUUCACCUCUGGAGCCAUUUGUGCAGAGACUUAAGCGGGUUUGAUGUGAUGAAUCACAAAUCACACCCUUUAUUCAAAAACUCCACAUAAACGGCCAUGCCGUUUGGGAUGGAUUGGGCCCGCACGAUGAGUUAUGGGCUCGUUAGAGUGGCAGGGCACAUCCCUUUAUCAUAUUAGGUUUCUUUAAAUCACACAGAGCGUUCGUUUUUAGAAACAAUUCCCACCCACCUCAAGGAGUCGUCCGUACCGCUCCAGGAAAUGUGAUGCAAUCCCGUUUUUAACGGGAUACACAUGGCUUGCAGUUGUGUGGUGAGUUGAUUCCAUUAUUUCUUCCCCGUGAGGACAGCCCGUAAAGAUUGAUUACACAUUACAAAUGGUAUUAGGGACACAGCCUGUGUCUCUUCCUGCCUGUGGCUCUGCGUGCGGCCCCCGCUCCCUCGCUCGGAUGUCGCGCCCGCGAUGGGUUCGCCCCGGCCCCCCUGCCCGGAGGGAAGUGCAUGUUCCUCCCUCUCUUUUCGACGGGGGACCACAGCGGUUCACCAGGGAUGGCUUGAGCUUUGGGGUCAAGAACGUGUAUUUGGGGAUCACUGAGUCUUUGAAAUCUGGGUCUCUUCCAUGAAUACGUGUCGAAAGAUCUGGGCAGAUGCCAGCCCUGGUCUCUUAGAGGUUCCUGUGACAGCAGGAUCCAGAAGGAGGUGGAGAAUCACCCAAAUGUUUUUAGGAUGGGGAAGAAAGGUGCCCUGGAGAGAGGCUCUGGGCGGCAGGGUGUGAUGCGGUCCUCCGUGCGGAGAUUGUCGUCAUCACCACCGGUGCACCUGGGCACUCCUCCCACAGACUUCUGUUCGAUAUGAGCAGGGCCCCUACAGCGAAACGGCCGGAGUCCAAGCGUGAACUUGAAUGCUCUCUCAGCUGAGCCACGACUGCGAGCAAACGGGCGUGGGAGCCCCGUGGUCCGGCACACGGCAUUGCCGCCAUCUGACAGGCCCGCGUGUGGGCAGCACCCCCUCUGAGAACAAGCGGUCUGCAGCUUGCCCAUCAGAGCACCGG